AUCACUUCUCGGCCUUUUGGCUAAGAUCAAGUGUAAAAGUAGAGAGGUAUGAUUGAGGUAAAGUAAACAUUUUUUUAGAAAAUUGGAGUUGGGUUGGUGGCAAACACCUGUGAUCCCAGCACUUGGUAGGCUGAGGCAGAAGGAUCACCACAAG
This 154-nucleotide small nuclear RNA is filed under the name Heterocephalus glaber (naked mole-rat). RNAcentral's name for it is "U2 spliceosomal RNA". The record is from Rfam by way of RNAcentral. Lineage: Eukaryota; Metazoa; Chordata; Mammalia; Rodentia; Bathyergidae.